GCAAAUUCAUUGACGACGCCGCCCAAGGGCGGGUUGUCGUGCCAAAAGUCCCCCGACAGGAGCCACGAGACCCUCCUGGGCCAAAUAGAGAACCUCCCAAGGGGAGAAUCUCCGUGAAUACAAUAGCAGGAGGAUUCUCAGGCGGGGGCGAAUCAAGCUCAGCAAGGAAAAGGUAUGUACGCCGAGCCGUCUCGGAAAUAUACCUCGUAAGUCAGCCCCAGCCAUUAGACGUACCAGAUUUGGCGUUCACGGCAAAGGAUGGUUUGGAGGUAGCACCCCAUGACGAUGAUCC
RNAcentral lists this long non-coding RNA (292 nucleotides) under Trifolium pratense (red clover). RNAcentral's name for it is "long non-coding RNA (TPRA_LNC011426)". The record is from RNAcentral. Lineage: Eukaryota; Viridiplantae; Streptophyta; Magnoliopsida; Fabales; Fabaceae.